RNAcentral lists this transfer RNA (77 nucleotides) under Patescibacteria group bacterium. Its description in RNAcentral is "tRNA-Val". It matches the Rfam family "tRNA". Rfam says of the family: Transfer RNA (tRNA) molecules are approximately 80 nucleotides in length. Their secondary structure includes four short double-helical elements and three loops (D, anti-codon, and T loops). The record is from RNAcentral.
GGACGUUUAGCUCAGCUGGUUAGAGCGUACGAUUCACAUUCGUAAGGUCGGUGGUUCGAUCCCACCAACGUCCACCA